RNAcentral lists this ribosomal RNA (445 nucleotides) under uncultured bacterium. Its description in RNAcentral is "bacterial LSU rRNA". It matches the Rfam family "Bacterial large subunit ribosomal RNA", at positions 1715 to 2171 of the family's 2925-position model. The record is from RNAcentral.
CGGCAAAAUGACUCCGUAACUUCGGAAUAACGAGGAUUUUAUAAAUUAUUUAUAGGAUUAAAAAAAUUAGAGAGUAGCGACUGUUUAAUAAAAACAACAAGACUCUGCUAAAUUGUAAAAUAAUGUAUAGGGUCUGACACCUGCCCAGCACUGUAAAGGUAAGAUUGAAAGUUAACGCUUUUGAUGAAAACUCCAGUAAACGGCGGCCGUAACCUUGACGGUCCUAAGGUAGCGAAAUUCCUUGUCAGGUAAGUUCUGACCUGCACGAAUGGUGUAACGACUGCUCUGCUGUCUCCGGUAUUGGCUCAGUGAAAUUGAAUUUUCUGUGAAGAUGCGGAAUAUUUAUGGUAAGACGGAAAGACCCCGUGCACCUUUACUAUAUUUAGAUAUUAGUUAAAAGAUAAUUUUGUUUUAGAAUAAGUGGGAGUUUAAAUAAACGUUCAUG